CAGGAACUGGAAACAAUGUAAUGUCCCUUAACCAAAGAAUGAAUAAAGAAAAUACAGCAUAUUUACACCAUGGACUAUUACUAAACUGUUAAAAAAUAACAUAAUGAAAUUUGGAGACAGAUGGGUGGACCUAGAAAAAAGCAUCCUGAGUGAGGCAACCCAGACCCUGCCAGAUAAACAUGGACCAUGGGACUUUAAAUCAAAGAUGAGCCUCAAGAUUUGGACAUCUUGUUCUAAAACCUAAUAUGACCGCCAUUCUACUGCCCACACUGUGAUAGAAAGCAAUGGUAAGAAAAGCAGAAAACUCA
RNAcentral lists this long non-coding RNA (308 nucleotides) under Cricetulus griseus (Chinese hamster). Its description in RNAcentral is "lncRNA (ENSCGRG00015034734.1)". Lineage: Eukaryota; Metazoa; Chordata; Mammalia; Rodentia; Cricetidae. The record is from RNAcentral.